UGCACAUACUCUCUUUGAGGUUCAAAAUCCCCAGUAUGACUCUUUGUAAUGUACUUUCCAUACAAUUUUGAUUUAAACAGAGAAUAGGGUUGUGGCCAAAAGAGUUUCUCAUCUUUGUGCACAGAUGCCUACACACAAACACACACAUGCAAGGUAAAAACUCUGAGUCAUAUGCAAAGGCUCAAUCGUAAUGUUGGAAACAGGAGCAGACAAAUGGAAAGUACAAUGUAAAGCACAUUUGUCACUGCAAGGUACAAACAUGUACUCUUUAUAAUCCUUAUUUAUGUUUAUUCCAAAACAUUCCAAAAUCCUAAAGCAUUAGUAAAGGGUUCCAGCUUGAGCUUGCUCUUCUGAGUCCAGUGGAACAAAGUGAUCAUACCAUACUGAGCCUGCAUGUCUUGCUAUUACUCUACACAGCUAUUCUAGUGAAGAUACGGCCACAGAAUUGUUCUAGGGCUCCAUUCUGUGUUCACUGAAAUCAUUGGUGAAAGCUGUAUAUGGCUUCAGUGGUUCAGGAUCUGGGCCCGAGCGGGUAGAAUAUCCAAAUGAGUUCAGGGGUGUGGAGAAGACUAAAGCGAACUGCAGAAUGAGAAGAGAAACAAAAGGAUUCAGCUGCAGUGGGACUACCCAGAAUGGAACAGCUGAUCAUGAAUGCAGUAUCACAGCCAUUUCAUCCCAGAAGGAGUUUAAGCCACAGGGAGCAUGUAUGCCAGUAAUAUGAGACUUCGAGACUUUGCUGACAUUCAACAAUCAAUACCAUUCAGUAGCCAUCUCCAGUACUUCCUGGUUCUCCUUAUAGAGACUGAGCUUGAUGAAAUUAUGUUUUGUUACUGGCACCUUUCCCAGCAUUGCAUCUUUGUACCUAUAGCCAACAAGCUUCCUCUCCCCAUAAAGGAAGCAUGUAAAAACUUCCUUGGGCUGUCUGUUACGCUAUAUCUAUUAACACCUACAUGCUAUGUGGAAAUCUCUAUCACCAAUAGAGAAAUCUAGAGUAGUCCACAAAGACUCUAUGUGGGAUGUGGCAACUGUGAUUCCAAGAGACUGACCAAUAUUUGAACCUGUUUGGUUUUGUUUCCAGAUUAGGCUGCUUCUGGGUAUGCAGCCAUUUCCUUGUGCCAGCCCAGAUCAUUCAAAAUUGUUUGAUUGCAUGAGAUUUGUCAUUAAAAACAAAAGGAAGGAGCAAUAAAACAUUGUAUGGAACUGUAAAUAACCUGAGA
Molecule: long non-coding RNA, 1217 nt
Filed under: Crocodylus porosus (Australian saltwater crocodile)
Lineage: Eukaryota; Metazoa; Chordata; Crocodylia; Crocodylidae
Description: lncRNA (ENSCPRG00005017775.1)
Source: RNAcentral